Unclassified non-coding RNA from Cricetulus griseus (Chinese hamster), 270 nucleotides. Its record names the gene 7SK. It matches the Rfam family "7SK RNA". From Rfam's summary of the family: 7SK was discovered as an abundant small nuclear RNA in the mid-70s but a possible function has only recently been suggested. Two independent studies have found that 7SK RNA binds the CDK9/cyclin T complex (known as elongation factor P-TEFb). P-TEFb activates transcription by phosphorylating the C-terminal domain of RNA polymerase II. The record is from Ensembl. Lineage: Eukaryota; Metazoa; Chordata; Mammalia; Rodentia; Cricetidae.
AGAUGGCAGGUGAUCUGGCUAUGGCAUCUGCCACUCCACUGACUGCUAGUGUCAAUUCUGCUCAUCUAGCUGAUUAAGCAGUGUCCCUCCCCCCUCUUACAGCUCCAUGGACAUCACUCCAGAAUAAGGAAGGGCCAGUCUUUGGUCAAGGUUAUAAGAAGGAGUAACCAUGAUGCCCUGCUAGAAUCUCCAAACAAGCUCUCAAGAUCACUGUUUUUUUCUAAGCUGUUUCUCAAUUUCAGAUUCCAGGAUGGUAGCUGGUCAUCUGUG